GACGAACGCUGGCGGCGUGCUUAACACAUGCAAGUCGAACGGAAAGACCCUGCUUUUGUGGGGUGCUCGAGUGGCGAACGGGUGAGUAACACGUGAGUAACCUGCCCUUGACUUUGGGAUAACUUCAGGAAACUGGGGCUAAUACCGGAUAGGAGCUCCUGCUGCAUGGUGGGGGUUGGAAAGUUUCGGCGGUUGGGGAUGGACUCGCGGCUUAUCAGCUUGUUGGUGGGGUAGUGGCUUACCAAGGCUUUGACCGGUAGCCGGCCUGAGAGGGUGACCGGCCACAUUGGGACUGAGAUACGGCCCAGACUCCUACGGGAGGCAGCAGUGGGGAAUAUUGCACAAUGGGCGGAAGCCUGAUGCAGCAACGCCGCGUGCGGGAUGACGGCCUUCGGGUUGUAAACCGCUUUCGCCUGUGACGAAGCGUGAGUGACGGUAAUGGGUAAAGAAGCACCGGCUAACUACGUG
Molecule: ribosomal RNA, 468 nt
Filed under: uncultured bacterium
Lineage: Bacteria
Description: partial 16S ribosomal RNA
Rfam family: Bacterial small subunit ribosomal RNA
Source: RNAcentral